CCUACGGGAGGCUGCAGUGGGGAAUAUUGCACAAUGGGGGAAACCCUGAUGCAGCGACGCCGCGUGAGUGAAGAAGUAAUUCGUUACGUAAAGCUCUAUCAGCAGGGAAGAAACACUGACCUUACGGUCAGCAGACGGUACCUGAGUAAGAAGACCCGGCUAACUACGUGCCAGCAGCCGCGGUAAUACGUAGGGGGCAAGCGUUAUCCGGAUUUACUGGGUGUAAAGGAAGCGUAGACGGUGCGCCAAGUCUGGAGUGAAAUGCCGCAGCUUAACUGCGGAACUGCUUUGGAAACUGGCGAACUAGAGUGCGGGAGGGGUAAGCGGAAUUCCUAGUGUAGCGGUGAAAUGCGUAGAUAUUAGGAGGAACACCGGUGGCGAAGGCGGCUUACUGGACCGUAACUGACGUUGAGGCUCGAAAGCGUGGGUAGCAAACAGGAUUAGAUACCCGAGUAGUC
Molecule: ribosomal RNA, 458 nt
Filed under: uncultured bacterium
Lineage: Bacteria
Description: partial 16S ribosomal RNA
Rfam family: Bacterial small subunit ribosomal RNA
Source: RNAcentral